GUUUGAUCAUGGCUUAGGAACGAAACGCUGGCGGCGUGCCUAAUACAUGCAAGUAGAACGCUGAAGAGAGGAGCUUUGCUCUUCUUGGAUGAGUUGCGAACGGGUGAGUAACGCGUAGGUAACCUGCCUUGUAGCGGGGGAUAACUAUUGGAAACGAUAGCUAAUACCGCAUAACAAUAGGUGACACAUGUCAUUUAUUUGAAAGGGGCAAUUGCUCCACUACAAGAUGGACCUGCGUUGUAUUAGCUAGUAGGUGAGGUAACGGCUCACCUAGGCGACGAUACAUAGCCGACCUGAGAGGGUGAUCGGCCACACUGGGACUGAGACACGGCCCAGACUCCUACGGGAGGCAGCAGUAGGGAAUCUUCGGCAAUGGGGGCAACCCUGACCGAGCAACGCCGCGUGAGUGAAGAAGGUUUUCGGAUCGUAAAGCUCUGUUGUAAGUCAAGAACGAGUGUGAGAGUGGAAAGUUCACACUGUGACGGUAGCUUACCAGAAAGGGACGGCUAACUACGUGCCAGCAGCCGCGGUAAUACGUAGGUCCCGAGCGUUGUCCGGAUUUAUUGGGCGUAAAGCGAGCGCAGGCGGUUUGAUAAGUCUGAAGUUAAAGGCUGUGGCUCAACCAUAGUUCGCUUUGGAAACUGUCAAACUUGAGUGCAGAAGGGGAGAGUGGAAUUCCAUGUGUAGCGGUGAAAUGCGUAGAUAUAUGGAGGAACACCGGUGGCGAAAGCGGCUCUCUGGUCUGUAACUGACGCUGAGGCUCGAAAGCGUGGGGAGCGAACAGGAUUAGAUACCCUGGUAGUCCACGCCGUAAACGAUGAGUGCUAGGUGUUGGAUCCUUUCCGGGAUUCAGUGCCGCAGCUAACGCAUUAAGCACUCCGCCUGGGGAGUACGACCGCAAGGUUGAAACUCAAAGGAAUUGACGGGGGCCCGCACAAGCGGUGGAGCAUGUGGUUUAAUUCGAAGCAACGCGAAGAACCUUACCAGGUCUUGACAUCCCGAUGCUAUUUCUAGAGAUAGAAAGUUACUUCGGUACAUCGGUGACAGGUGGUGCAUGGUUGUCGUCAGCUCGUGUCGUGAGAUGUUGGGUUAAGUCCCGCAACGAGCGCAACCCCUAUUGUUAGUUGCCAUCAUUCAGUUGGGCACUCUAGCGAGACUGCCGGUAAUAAACCGGAGGAAGGUGGGGAUGACGUCAAAUCAUCAUGCCCCUUAUGACCUGGGCUACACACGUGCUACAAUGGUUGGUACAACGAGUUGCGAGUCGGUGACGGCAAGCUAAUCUCUUAAAGCCAAUCUCAGUUCGGAUUGUAGGCUGCAACUCGCCUACAUGAAGUCGGAAUCGCUAGUAAUCGCGGAUCAGCACGCCGCGGUGAAUACGUUCCCGGGCCUUGUACACACCGCCCGUC
This 1406-nucleotide ribosomal RNA is filed under the name uncultured bacterium. Its description in RNAcentral is "bacterial SSU rRNA". It matches the Rfam family "Bacterial small subunit ribosomal RNA". The record is from RNAcentral.